Molecule: long non-coding RNA, 3132 nt
Organism: Homo sapiens (human)
Lineage: Eukaryota; Metazoa; Chordata; Mammalia; Primates; Hominidae
Exons: 5
Source: RefSeq, a predicted model, not a curated record
AGAAUCCAAUUGGAUGCUGGGUUGCAGGGUGGUUAGAGCUAUAGGCAGUGAGCUGAGGCAGGAAUCAGAUGGCUUUACCCAUGGAGAUUUUUGUUGCUGGCUAAUUUGCUACAUAUUCUUAGAACUGGUUUGAUUAAGAAAAAAAGCUGUUGGUGUGGUGACUGGAAGUCUAACAACAAUCACCACAAUAGAUAUCUGCAGCCCUGAAACCAAUUUUCAGGCUUGAAUUUCUUUUACUUUUCUUCUUUCUUUCUUAUUGUGUGUCUCCAAGUCCUGAGUCUACUGGGGUUAUGUAGAAAAAAAGUUUUAAACAUUUUUUUGGGAAAUAAUUGCAAAGUUACAGCUAAAUUAUAAGAAAAAAAGAAGAGUUCUACACUUUGGGAGGCCGAGGCGGGUGGAUCAUGAGGUCAGGAGAUCGAGACCAUCCUGGCUAACAAGAUCUUACCUAUGUUCAAACUUUGAAGGGUAUUUUUAGAUCUAAGAGAUCUGGGUCUUUAAAGUCAGUCUUGGCCAGAAUCAGGCUGCAAAUGCCAAAGCAAGAGAUGUCAGCAAUGAGUUGCAGGUCUUUGCCAAACAGAGCAUCAUCUGGCAGUGAAAGGAGAGCAGAAGAGGGGAUUUUGAAGUCUUCCUGCACACUUCCGACAACUUGAUUGAACUGGACGCCCUUGGAAGUUCAUGGCAUCGCCUAUAACAGAGUCUGUGUAGGCAAAACCCCAGCCUAUGCUGGAAUUUAACUCUUAAAAAGCAACCUAAGUAGAACACAAGAUUGUAAACUCUAAGGAGAUUCUAACACCAAAAGAAAGUAUGACUUGAGCCAAUGAAAUGCCAAAAUCCAGUUCUAGCUGACAACGUCAGUAGUGGAGGACAGACUUCCACUUGCCAUUUGAGGAAAAAGCAUGUGGAUUCAUGAGCAUAACAGCAGAUACCCCACUACCAAUUACCAAAUCCUGUGCACAUUCCUGUUCUCCAGUCACCUUUUCUCCAUAAAUGUUUGUGGUAUAAAAUGAAAACCUUCCCAAAUAUUAACCAGUCAACCUUUAUUCUCUGAUUUCUUUCUCUAAACUAGUGAUGCCUUCAUUUUCAGUGUCACUGACUUGCACCUAACAGUUCCCAGCUUAUGUUGUAGGUGCUAUCUCAUCUUAAACUGAUCCUGUUCUCGAGUUUCCAGAGCGAGUACAGCCCUGCCACCUCUGGAGUUCAGCCCAGUGAAAGUGCUUUCAGACUUCUGACCUCCAGAACUGUGGACCGACCAUGGACUGAUGGAAAAAGGAACCACGAGGAGCUCCAACAAUGGGAAUGUGGUUGCCUCUUCCUAGUGCAACACCUGGGUUCUGGAGUGGUGCAUGCCAGGUAUUUGGCAUGAAGGUGGAACAAGCAAGGAUGGUGCUGGUGUUUGUAGCCACAACCAAUGUGGUGUGAGCAGGGCCUGUUGCUGGCAGCUCUGAGUGGACAAGAGUUCCAUGACAGAAGAGCUGAAGGCUUCUUGUCCUGCAUCUUCUUCCCCGACAUCAGCAAGCUUGGAGAGCUGGGUGGGUGGUCUUCAUCCAGCACCUUCCUGGCCGCCUUCUCUGGCUGCAGGGAGCAGCCCGGGGCCGGGGCCGGGGCCGGGGCCAGGAGCACUGCUGGAGCCGGGUCAGGCUUCCCAAGGGGAAGGCCACCUCCAGCAGGGCUGUGUGAGCUGGGGGCCUCAUGGCCCUCCCAGAAGGAGCCACUCACUGGAGACACCUGGGCCUUCUCUCUCAAAUGGUUUUCCAACAGGUAGGGGUGGGCAUUUCCCUGCAGAGGCCCGGGCCUGCACCCGAAGGAGGUGAGGUCUCCCUGGGUCUCCAGGGCCCUAGACGUGGAUGAAGUCCUGCCGUGGCUACGGGGGCUCUUUUCUUGUCAUCCUGCUCCUGGGUCUCUACGUGAUGCUCCUGCGUCACUGUUCUGGGCUCCUCUUCGGCCCUACCCUCAGUCUCCUUCGGGAGCCUGGCUGGGACCUGCUUAGGUGGUGAAGGCAGCGGGAGGGCGAACUUGCGGACGGGAGGAGGGUCCUCAGGGACCCUGGGUGCAGCAACCUUCGGGAGUUCCCAACAGGUGGCUCAGAGGCCACAGCCUGCAGGAACUCCAGAGGGUCACCCUUGUCAUGUGGGAGAGGACAAGGGGUGCCACACAAGCUGCCUGGAGAGGAGGGCCUAGGAGGCCGCCGCGGGUUGAACAGGAAUAAGAAAGGGCCUGGCUGUCCUGGGCAGGCGCAGAGGCCUUUAGGGCAAGGGGCGGCCGCUGGCCCGAGAGCCUGCAGGCAGACCAGAGAAGAAACGUGUGAAGUAAAUUGCCCAUCUCCACCGAGGGACAGAAGCAAGGCAAUGAACCUCCAUCCGGCUACAGGAAAGAAUGAGAAAACACCAUGUCUCCACGAUAAGGAGGCACACAGGCCAGAGCGUGAGCUGUGGAAUCACACAGCCCGGGUUCACAGCCUGGCUGGGCCACUGCCACCUGAAUGACCUGGAGAAGAGUCUCAGGCCCAAAUGUUGUUUUAGCAAUAUCCAGUACAAAACGAAGGAGUGUUUUAGCAAAUUUGUAAAAGGAAGUGAGCACAACUCGCUCGAGAUGGGCAAUUUACAUGUAUUUUCUCUGGGUACUUUGCACGGUGGCAUAUGUGUAAUAAGCACAUGCACUCCUAGGAUGAGGCCUUUACCUCAACUCAUAAGUUGACCAUGGCCCACAGUGGGCUCCAGUCCUCUAAGAAAAUGUAGGGCAGGGACCAGCAAUUGUCCCACAGGGUCAUGCCACAUUUCUCUUCUAAUGGAGCCUUGCAGCUCAGAUGAUCUUUUUGAUCCUGUGUGAGGUAUCUAAGUAUAUAAAGAUUAUGUUCUAGACCCAUUAUGGUCUAUCCUGAAAGAAAUUCACCAGCAGUUUAUUUAUUAUGGAUAAGAAUCCAUGUUCUCCAAUGAGAACACUUGGACACAGGGUGGGGAACGUCAGAGGGUGGGGAACGUCACAUGCCAGAGCCUGUCGGGGGCUGCGGGGCUGGGGGAGGGAUAGCAUUAAGUAUCAGGGAACCUGCCCCAAUAGUCACAAAGGUUCUUUUCUAUUUUCCCUAAGCAUCAGCCGGUUUGAGAAAUAAGUACAAAAGAGAGAAAUUUUAAAGCU